AGUGAACGCUGGCGGUAGGCCUAACACAUGCAAGUCGAACGGCAGCACAGUAAGAGCUUGCUCUUCGGGUGGCGGGUGGCGGGCGGGGGGGGGAUACAUCGGGAUCUACUUUUUCGGGGGGGGUAACGGAGGGAAACUUACGCUAAUACCGCAUAAGACCUACGGGUGAAAGCAGGGGAUCUUCGGACCUUGCGCGGUUGAAUGAGCCGAUGUCGGAUUAGCUAGUUGGCGGGGUAAAGGCCCACCAAGGCGACGAUCCGUAGCUGGUCUGAGAGGAUGAUCAGCCACACUGGAACUGAGACACGGUCCAGACUCCUACGGGAGGCAGCAGUGGGGAAUAUUGGACAAUGGGCGCAAGCCUGAUCCAGCCAUACCGCGUGGGUGAAGAAGGCCUUCGGGUUGUAAAGCCCUUUUGUUGGGAAAGAAAAGCAGCAGGUUAAUACCCCGCUGUUCUGACGGUACCCAAAGAAUAAGCACCGGCUAACUUCGUG
Molecule: ribosomal RNA, 491 nt
Filed under: uncultured bacterium
Lineage: Bacteria
Description: partial 16S ribosomal RNA
Rfam family: Bacterial small subunit ribosomal RNA
Source: RNAcentral